GAUGAACGCUGGCGGCGUGCCUAAUACAUGCAAGUCGAGCGAACAGAUAAGGAGCUUGCUCCUUUGACGUUAGCGGCGGACGGGUGAGUAACACGUGGGUAACCUACCUAUAAGACUGGGAUAACUUCGGGAAACCGGAGCUAAUACCGGAUAAUAUUUCGAACCGCAUGGUUCGAUAGUGAAAGAUGGUUUUGCUAUCACUUAUAGAUGGACCCGCGCCGUAUUAGCUAGUUGGUAAGGUAACGGCUUACCAAGGCGACGAUACGUAGCCGACCUGAGAGGGUGAUCGGCCACACUGGAACUGAGACACGUUCCAGACUCCUACGGGAGGCAGCAGUAGGGAAUCUUCCGCAAUGGGCGAAAGCCUGACGGAGCAACGCCGCGUGAGUGAUGAAGGUCUUCGGAUCGUAAAACUCUGUUAUUAGGGAAGAACAUACGUGUAAGUAACUGUGCACGUCUUGACGGUACCUAAUCAGAAAGCCACGGCUAACUACGUG
This 497-nucleotide ribosomal RNA is filed under the name uncultured bacterium. Its description in RNAcentral is "partial 16S ribosomal RNA". It matches the Rfam family "Bacterial small subunit ribosomal RNA", at positions 28 to 507 of the family's 1533-position model. The record is from RNAcentral.